GAUGCUGGGCAAGGACGACGAUGAUAUGUCAAGAGUGGAGUUUCCGUGGCAGGGAGUCUAGGAGGAGCCACACUAGACUCUCCAGCGAUUGGAAUGGAUAAGACUUAUGUAGCGGAAGGUGUAGGAGGAGCUAUAGUAGAAUCCCUAAAGGCCGGUAUAGGUAAAACCUCAGAUAUAUCAAGAUGGUCAAAAUGGUCAGAAGAGGUAAGGAGCUAUAGUAGAAUCCCUAAAGGUCGGUAUAGGUAAAACUUCAGAUAUAUCAAGAUGGUCAGAAUGGUAAGAAGAGGUAAAGAAAGGUUUAGACUCAAAAAAUGUGACAUCAGCUAACAUAAGGUACCUACAAAGAUCAGGUGAAUAACAACGAUAGCCCUUCUAGACACAAGAAUAACCAAGGAAGACACACUUGAGAGCACGAGGAGCUAACUUAUCUUUCCCAGGGGCUAAGUUAUGAACGAAACAAGUGCUCCCAAAAACACGAGGGGGAACAGAGUAUAAGGGUGACU
This 503-nucleotide long non-coding RNA is filed under the name Nicotiana benthamiana. RNAcentral's name for it is "long non-coding RNA (NBEN_LNC012969)". The record is from RNAcentral. Lineage: Eukaryota; Viridiplantae; Streptophyta; Magnoliopsida; Solanales; Solanaceae.